GCUGGGCAUGGUGGUGCAUGCCUGUAAUUCCAGCUACUUGGGAAGCUGAGGCAGGAGAAUCACUUGAACCCAGGAGGCAGAGGUUUCAGUGAGCCGAGAUCUUGCCACUGCAAGCCAGCCUGGGUGACAGAGUGAGACUCUAUCUCAA
This is an unclassified non-coding RNA of Papio anubis (olive baboon), 148 nucleotides long. It matches the Rfam family "Metazoan signal recognition particle RNA". From Rfam's summary of the family: The signal recognition particle (SRP) is a universally conserved ribonucleoprotein. It is involved in the co-translational targeting of proteins to membranes. The record is from Ensembl. Lineage: Eukaryota; Metazoa; Chordata; Mammalia; Primates; Cercopithecidae.